AUUGAACGCUGGCGGCAGGCCUAACACAUGCAAGUCGAGCGAGCGGCGGACGGGUGAGUAAUGUAUGGGGACUGCCCGAUAGAGGGGGAUAACUACUGGAAACGGUGGCUAAUACCGCAUACUAUCGGAUAACCCAUAUGGGAUUAGCUAGUAGGUGGGGUAAAGGCUCACCUAGGCGACGAUCUCUCGCUGGUCUGAGAGGAUGAUCAGCCACAGUGGGUCUGCGACACACGCCAGACGCCGUCGGAGUCAGCUGUGGGGAAUAUUUCAAAAUGGGCGCAAUCCUGAUGCAGCCAUGCCGCGUGUAUGAAGAUGGCAUUAGGGGUGUAAAGUACUUUCAGCUGGGCGGCGUUACCAGCAGAAGAAGCACCGGCUAACUCCGGGCCAGCCGCCGCGGUAAUCC
RNAcentral lists this ribosomal RNA (403 nucleotides) under uncultured bacterium. RNAcentral describes it as "partial 16S ribosomal RNA". It matches the Rfam family "Bacterial small subunit ribosomal RNA", at positions 30 to 526 of the family's 1533-position model. The record is from RNAcentral.